Molecule: long non-coding RNA, 1525 nt
Organism: Panicum hallii
Lineage: Eukaryota; Viridiplantae; Streptophyta; Magnoliopsida; Poales; Poaceae
Exons: 3
Source: RefSeq, a predicted model, not a curated record
CCUCCUCCCCUAACUUCCCUCCUUCCCGUGCACCUCUCUCCCUCCGCUCCCCAGAUCCACCGCUGCUUCUCCCAGAUCCACCGGUCGCAUCCCUUCCCAGAGCCGGCGGGGACCCGCGGGACCCGGUGCGUGCGGGGAGCAGCCCGCGGCGGGGACCGAGCUCGCAGGAGGCGCGCAGGAGCAGCGGCCAGCGGGGCGCGGGAGCGGCGCCUACCCUCGACGCGGCCCACGCGCCGCAACAGCAGCUCGCGCGCCCCCGCGACGGGGAGGCGGCCGUGCGUGCCCGCGGCCAAGCCUGUGCGAGGCCGACAGUCACGGCAAGGUGUCCUCGGCCUCCGGGACGGCGACAGCCGGGCCUGAGGUGACCGCGCGCUCGGACGGAGGCAGCUGCCAGCUGCCCGGCCGCAUGUGCAGAUUUAGCUGGAGCUCCGUCGGCCUACAUGUUGAGCCCAUCCCUGUGCGUCGCUCCCCCCUCUCAGAUCCGGACGAGGAGGAGAUGGCCAUGGGCGAGGUGGAGGCGGAGCCCGAGGAGCAGGAGGCUGCAGCGGCCGCCGGGUUGAACCGCGGUCAUGCAGUGCUGAUCGAGAGCACUUAGGAAUGAGAACCCAAAGAUUACUAAUGGCAGCUUGGGAGGCAAUCGACCACUGCUCCCGCGCCGUGCUGACUCCUUCGAGAAGAUAGAUAAGCACGCCAAAGCUAAAUAUAUUGAUGACGUGUUGAUUCUCUCAUGUGAUCACCUCUACCGCAUGGACUGUCCAUGGACUUUGUUCAGUCUCAUCGGCAAAGAGGUCUGAGCAUCAACAUCCGUGGAUGUGAGCAUGAAUAAUGCAAAACUUGAGCUCGUGCUUGAAGCAUGGGUUUGGUUGAAGCUACUUUUUAUUUGCUAUAUUAUGAGAUUUUGUGUUAGAUUAACUAGAGAUAGACUGAUUUCACGCUGAAUCGGAAAACUUUGAUGUUGACAUGUUGGAUCAGAAUUUAUAUACGGGCUUCAUGAUGAUGGUUUGAUUAGAAAAUGAGCCAUAUUUUAAUGGGCCGGAUGUAAAAUGGGCUUAGCUUUCUUCAUUCAUGAGCAGAUAUGUAAAUGGGCUAUAUGCAAAUAGGCCCAACUUGACCCAGUUGCUUGCUGCCACAUCAUCGUUCAUGUUAGCAUCCAUGUGGAGACCACGUCAUCAGCACUAUCCACAUCAUCAUCACGUCAGCAGCUAUGUUAUUGGCCAUGUCAGCAGACACGUCAUCCUCCAUGCCAUCUGUGUGCCAUGUUGUUGGCCACGUCAGCAGACACGUCAUUCUCCAUGCCAUCUUUGUGUGAUGUGGUAAUUGAAUUUGUGAUGCUUAUUUUCAUCAUUAGUAAUUGAAUUUGUGAUGUUUAUUUUUAUCAUUAAUAUUGGGCUUGAGUUGGGCUGUGCGGGCUUCAGGCCAUUAUGUGAUGGUCAAGAAACGUCAUGGGUGGCUUCAAUUUGUGAUGAUUUUGUAAAAAUGCUGAUUAAUUUAAUCUGUGACGCUCAAUACAUGAUGUUAUCUGAAA